CUAAUGUGUCAGAUCUAAAUGUAUUAAAUUUAAGAUUUAAAUAUGAAUUACUUAUUCCUUUAGUAA
RNAcentral lists this transfer RNA (66 nucleotides) under Acizzia uncatoides. Its description in RNAcentral is "tRNA-Leu". The record is from RNAcentral. Lineage: Eukaryota; Metazoa; Arthropoda; Insecta; Hemiptera; Psyllidae.